GACGAACGCUGGCGGCGUGCUUAACACAUGCCAGUCGAACGGGCCUGUCUUCUUUUUUGGGGGUGGGUUGAGUGGCGAACGGGUGAGUAUCACGUGAGUAACCUGCCCUUCGGUCCUGGAUAACCGCUUGAAAGGGCGGCUAAUACGGGGUGGUCCGGUUGGUCCGCAUGGGCUGGUCGGGAUAGAUUCACUGUUUUUGGUGUUUCGGCGGGGGAUGGGCUCGCGGCCUAUCAGCUUGUUGGUGGGGUGAUGGCCUACCAAGGCGGUGACGGGUAGCCGGACUGAGAGGGUGGGCGGCCACACUGGGACGGAGAUACGGCCCGGACUCCUGCGGGAGGCAGCAGUGGGGGGUAUUGCACAAUGGGCGGAAGCCUGAUGCAGCGACGUCGCGUGAGGGAUGGAGGCCUUCGGGUUGUGAACCUCUGUUUCCGGUGGUGAAGGCCCUGUCCGUGUGGUGGGGUUGACGGUAGCCGGGGAUGAAGCGCCGGCUAACUACGUG
RNAcentral lists this ribosomal RNA (499 nucleotides) under uncultured bacterium. Its description in RNAcentral is "partial 16S ribosomal RNA". It matches the Rfam family "Bacterial small subunit ribosomal RNA", at positions 28 to 507 of the family's 1533-position model. The record is from RNAcentral.